GUGCUUGCUAUGGCAGCACAUAUACGUUCAAAUUGGAAUGGUAUAGAGAAGAUUAGCAUAGCCCCUGUGCACAGAUAACAUGCAAAUUUGUGGAGCAUUCCAUAUUUAA
Small nuclear RNA from Sorex araneus (European shrew), 109 nucleotides. The record is from RefSeq and is a predicted model, not a curated record. Lineage: Eukaryota; Metazoa; Chordata; Mammalia; Eulipotyphla; Soricidae.